GAAGUGUGGACGCCAGUCUGCAUGGAGCCGACCUUGAAAUACCACCCUUUAAUGUUUGAUGUUCUAACGUUGACCCGUAAUCCGGGUUGCGGACAGUGUCUGGUGGGUAGUUUGACUGGGGCGGUCUCCUCCUAAAGAGUAACGGAGGAGCACGAAGGUUGGCUAAUCCUGGUCGGACAUCAGGAGGUUAGUGCAAUGGCAUAAGCCAGCUUGACUGCGAGCGUGACGGCGCGAGCAGGUGCGAAAGCAGGUCAUAGUGAUCCGGUGGUUCUGAAUGGAAGGGCCAUCGCUCAACGGAUAAAAGGUACUCCGGGGAUAACAGGCUGAUACCGCCCAAGAGUUCAUAUCGACGGCGGUGUUUGGCACCUCGAUGUCGGCUCAUCACAUCCUGGGGCUGAAGUAGGUCCCAAGGGUAUGGCUGUUCGCCAUUUAAAGUGGUACGCGAGCUGGGUUUAGAACGUCGUGAGACAGUUCGGUCCCUAUCUGCCGUGGGCGCUGGAGAACUGAGGGGGGCUGCUCCUAGUACGAGAGGACCGGAGUGGACGCAUCACUGGUGUUCGGGUUGUCAUGCCAAUGGCACUGCCCGGUAGCUAAAUGCGGAAGAGAUAAGUGCUGAAAGCAUCUAAGCACGAAACUUGCCCCGAGAUGAGUUCUCCCUGACCCUUUAAGGGUCCUGAAGGAAC
RNAcentral lists this ribosomal RNA (683 nucleotides) under Escherichia coli. RNAcentral's name for it is "partial 23S ribosomal RNA". It matches the Rfam family "Bacterial large subunit ribosomal RNA", at positions 2159 to 2846 of the family's 2925-position model. The record is from RNAcentral. Lineage: Bacteria; Pseudomonadati; Pseudomonadota; Gammaproteobacteria; Enterobacterales; Enterobacteriaceae.